GGCUCAAUGGUUAGAGCGUUGGACUUCUAAUCAACACGUCGCGGGUUCGAGCCUGC
RNAcentral lists this transfer RNA (56 nucleotides) under Schistocephalus solidus. It matches the Rfam family "tRNA", at positions 9 to 63 of the family's 71-position model. From Rfam's summary of the family: Transfer RNA (tRNA) molecules are approximately 80 nucleotides in length. Their secondary structure includes four short double-helical elements and three loops (D, anti-codon, and T loops). Lineage: Eukaryota; Metazoa; Platyhelminthes; Cestoda; Diphyllobothriidea; Diphyllobothriidae. The record is from Rfam by way of RNAcentral.